ACGGGCAUAGUUCAAUGGUAGAAUAGCGGUCUCCAAAACCGUUGAUCAGGGUUCGAAUCCUUGUGCCCGUGCCA
This 74-nucleotide transfer RNA is filed under the name Chitinophagaceae bacterium. RNAcentral's name for it is "tRNA-Trp". It matches the Rfam family "tRNA". Rfam says of the family: Transfer RNA (tRNA) molecules are approximately 80 nucleotides in length. Their secondary structure includes four short double-helical elements and three loops (D, anti-codon, and T loops). Further hydrogen bonds mediate the characteristic L-shaped molecular structure. tRNAs have two regions of fundamental functional importance: the anti-codon, which is responsible for specific mRNA codon recognition, and the 3' end, to which the tRNAs corresponding amino acid is attached (by aminoacyl-tRNA synthetases). tRNAs cope with the degeneracy of the genetic code in two manners: having more than one tRNA (with a specific anti-codon) for a particular amino acid; and 'wobble' base-pairing, i.e. permitting non-standard base-pairing at the 3rd anti-codon position. The record is from RNAcentral. Lineage: Bacteria; Pseudomonadati; Bacteroidota; Chitinophagia; Chitinophagales; Chitinophagaceae. RNAcentral also lists the same sequence under 3 other names.